GGGGAAUAUUGGACAAUGGGCGCAAGCCUGAUCCAGCCAUGCCGCGUGAGUGAUGACGGCCUUAGGGUUGUAAAGCUCUUUCACCCACGACGAUAAUGACGGUAGUGGGAGAAGAAGCCCCGGCUAACUUCGUGCCAGCAGCCGCGGUAAUACGAAGGGGGCUAGCGUUGUUCGGAAUCACUGGGCGUAAAGCGUACGUAGGCGGAUCGUUAAGUCAGAGGUGAAAUCCCGGAGCUCAACUUCGGAAUUGCCUUUGAUACUGGCGGUCUUGAGUUCGGGAGAGGUGAGUGGAACUGCUAGUGUAGAGGUGAAAUUCGUAGAUAUUAGCAAGAACACCAGUGGCGAAGGCGGCUCACUGGCCCGAUACUGACGCUGAGGUACGAAAGCGUGGGGAGCAAAC
This 400-nucleotide ribosomal RNA is filed under the name uncultured bacterium. RNAcentral describes it as "bacterial SSU rRNA". It matches the Rfam family "Bacterial small subunit ribosomal RNA", at positions 356 to 773 of the family's 1533-position model. The record is from RNAcentral.